UACGGAGGGUGCGAGCGUUGUCCGGAAUCACUGGGCGUAAAGGGCGCGUAGGUGGCGCUCCAAGUCUGUGGUGAAAGCUCGAUGCUCAACAUCGAGUCGGCCAUAGAGACUGGAGGGCUCGAGCACUGUAGGGGCAGAUGGAAUUCCGGGUGUAGCGGUGGAAUGCGUAGAGAUCCGGAAGAACACCGGUGGCGAAGGCGGUCUGCUGGGCAGUUGCUGACACUGAGGCGCGACAGCGUGGGGAGCAAACAGG
RNAcentral lists this ribosomal RNA (253 nucleotides) under uncultured bacterium. RNAcentral's name for it is "partial 16S ribosomal RNA". It matches the Rfam family "Bacterial small subunit ribosomal RNA", at positions 524 to 776 of the family's 1533-position model. The record is from RNAcentral.